GACGAACGCUGGCGGCGUGCUUAACACAUGCAAGUCGAACGGAAAGGCCCUGCUCUUGUGGGGUGCUCAAGUGGCGAACACGUGAGUAUCACGUGAGUGACAUGCGCUUGAGUUUGGGAUAACAUCAGGGAACAGGGGCUCAUAUCCGGCAUGAGCUCCUGAUACAUAGUGGGGGAGGGUAAGAGUCGGCGGUUCGGGAUGGAGUCGCGGUCUAUCAGCUUGUUGGCGAGGUAGUGGCGUAACAGGGCUUUGACGGGUAGCCGGACUGAGAGUGUGACCGGCCACAUUGGGCCUGAGAUGCGGCCCGUACUCCUACGGGAGGCAGCAGUGGAGGUUUUUGCAAACUGGGCGGAAUCCGGAUGCAGCAUCGCCGCGUGCUGGAUCACGGCCUGUGGGUUGUAACCCUGGUUCGCCUGUGACGAAGCGUGAGUGACGGUAACUGGUAAGGAAGCACCGGCUAACUACGUG
RNAcentral lists this ribosomal RNA (468 nucleotides) under uncultured bacterium. RNAcentral describes it as "partial 16S ribosomal RNA". It matches the Rfam family "Bacterial small subunit ribosomal RNA", at positions 28 to 507 of the family's 1533-position model. The record is from RNAcentral.